UACGUAGGUGGCAAGCGUUGUCCGGAAUUAUUGGGCGUAAAGCGCGCGCAGGCGGUCCUUUAAGUCUGAUGUGAAAUCUUGCGGCUUAACCGCAAGCGGUCAUUGGAAACUGGGGGACUUGAGUACAGAAGAGGAGAGCGGAAUUCCACGUGUAGCGGUGAAAUGCGUAGAUAUGUGGAGGAACACCAGUGGCGAAGGCGGCUCUCUGGUCUGUAACUGACGCUGAGGGACGAAAGCUCGGGUCACGAACCGG
This 253-nucleotide unclassified non-coding RNA is filed under the name uncultured Caryophanales bacterium. Its description in RNAcentral is "uncultured Bacillales bacterium contains 16S-23S intergenic spacer region". It matches the Rfam family "Bacterial small subunit ribosomal RNA", at positions 524 to 776 of the family's 1533-position model. Lineage: Bacteria; Bacillati; Bacillota; Bacilli; Caryophanales. The record is from RNAcentral.